Molecule: transfer RNA, 358 nt
Filed under: uncultured Microcystis sp.
Lineage: Bacteria; Bacillati; Cyanobacteriota; Cyanophyceae; Chroococcales; Microcystaceae
Description: partial 16S-23S ribosomal RNA intergenic spacer
Rfam family: tRNA (bases 133-206)
Source: RNAcentral
AAGGGAGACCUAAUUCCGGUAGGAGACGAAAAAAAAGUGGUCCCAACCAAGAAUCAAUCCCAAAAGGUCGGAACGAGGUAUGAGGCUUUCAAACUAGGUUCUGGGUUCAUAAAAGACCUGAAUCAGGAACAAGGGCUAUUAGCUCAGGUGGUUAGAGCGCACCCCUGAUAAGGGUGAGGUCCCUGGUUCGAGUCCAGGAUGGCCCACCUGCACAGGUGGCAAAAACAAGAGAAGCUCCGAAUCAGCACCUUAUCUUAUAUACAUAUAUAAGAGAGAAUGCUGGCUCUGAGUACAGAGUCCAGAGGAACCUUGAAAACUGCAUAGAGCUAGGUGAAAAAGCCAAAAAAGAAGACCGCAA